GGGGCGGAUCACACCAGUGACAUGAGAGUUGCUCUGGUAGCAGUGGAAAUGCUAUUUGUAAAACCAUCCUUAGCUCCAGGAUCGUAGAGCUAUCACUGAGACAAUUGCGCAGUGAGUGACAAGAGAGAUAAGCGGAGAAUGUGAGCCAUCUAUGAGACAGAGACACACAGGAGCAAUACCAGGAGUAAAGCAAGCUGAGAGCCGGAACAAUAUAAGAAAAGAGACUACCAUGUGCCAGAGGACAACUUCAAUAAAAAACACCAGGUCGGCGGAUAAGACCAUGUCACUCACAGGUUUGUGACCUGAGGCCUGAGCACCAAUGAUCCACUCCACAUCAGUGGAGAAUGUUGGAAAGUAAGGACGCUGUGGACAUUUUCUGAAGUUGGAGAAAUGGAAUGGUGGAGAAGCCAGUAUUGGGGUACCAUGAGUGGAGCAGAGUUGACGACAAAUCUCAAUAAAGCUUUUCAACUGUAUACCUAACUGCAAAG
This 488-nucleotide long non-coding RNA is filed under the name Pan troglodytes (chimpanzee). RNAcentral's name for it is "long non-coding RNA NONPTRT005142". The record is from RNAcentral. Lineage: Eukaryota; Metazoa; Chordata; Mammalia; Primates; Hominidae.